ACAAGCAGUGGAACAUGUGGUUCAAUUCGACGCUACGCGAAGAACCUCGCCAGGGUUUGACAUAUAGGUAGUAGGAACCUGAAAGGGAGACGACUCGUUAAGCCGAGUGCCUAUACAGGUGUUGCAUGGCUGUCGUCAGCUCGUGCCGUGAGGUGUUGGGUUAAGUCCCGCAACGAGCGCAACCAUCAUCCUUAGUUGCUACCGAGGGAUCCGAAAGGGUCCUGGCGAGCACUCUAAGGAGACUGCCCGUGAUAAACGGGAGGAAGGUGGAGAUGACGUCAAGUCCGUAUGGCCCUUAUACCCUGGGCUACACACGUGUUACAAUGGGAUGUACAGAGCGUUGCCAAACCGCGAGGUGGAGCUAAUCGCAAAAAGCAUCCCCCAGUUCAGAUUGGAGUCUGCAACCCGACUCCAUGAAGUUGGAAUUGCUAGUAACGGCGGAUCAGCUACGCCGCCGUGAAUACGUUCCCGGGCCUU
This 477-nucleotide ribosomal RNA is filed under the name uncultured Omnitrophica bacterium. RNAcentral's name for it is "bacterial SSU rRNA". It matches the Rfam family "Bacterial small subunit ribosomal RNA", at positions 925 to 1382 of the family's 1533-position model. Lineage: Bacteria; Pseudomonadati; Candidatus Omnitrophota. The record is from RNAcentral.